This 443-nucleotide ribosomal RNA is filed under the name uncultured bacterium. RNAcentral describes it as "partial 16S ribosomal RNA". It matches the Rfam family "Bacterial small subunit ribosomal RNA", at positions 338 to 795 of the family's 1533-position model. The record is from RNAcentral.
CCUACGGGUGGCAGCAGUGGGGAAUAUUGGGCAAUGGGCGCAAGCCUGACCCAGCAACGCCGCGUGAAGGAAGAAGGCUCUCGGGUUGUUAACUUCUUUUCUUAUGGACGUAGCAAGUUGCGGUACCUGAGGAAUAAGUCACGGCUAACUACGUGCAAGCAGCCGCGGCAAUACGUAGGUGGCAAGCGUUAUCCGGAUUUACUGGGUGUAAAGGGCGUGUAGGCGGGACUGCAAGUCAGAUGUGAAAACCAUGGGCUCAACCUAUGGCCUGCAUUUGAAACUGUAGUUCUUGAGUACUGGAGAGGCAGACGGAAUUCCUGGUGUAGCGGUGAAAUGCGUAGAUAUUAGGAGGAACACCAGUGGCGAAGGCGGUCUGCUGGACAGCAACUGACGCUGAGGCGCGAAAGCGUGGGGAGCAAACAGGAUUAGAUACCCUGGUAGUC